Non-coding RNA from Schizosaccharomyces pombe (fission yeast), 820 nucleotides. NCBI's taxonomy places the organism in Eukaryota, Fungi, Ascomycota, Schizosaccharomycetes, Schizosaccharomycetales, Schizosaccharomycetaceae. The record is from the annotation of a GenBank genome assembly.
AUAAUAGUCAGAAAAUCCAUCCAUUGUUCUGUGGCUGUACACAACCGGAAUACUUUGGUUACUAAUCAAUCCAUCAAUCACUUCAUUACCAGGAUCCGUCCAGGAAGCUGCACCCAUGCCAGCUAAGACUAAACCUUUGGCUCCCAGAUCUACUGCAGCCUUUGCCAAGUUAGGAUUCAGUCCCUGAUAUCCAUACAAAAUUUCAACUGCUGGUAAUUCAGUAGUGUUGCUAACGUCAAAAUGAACUUUACCAGUUGGUGUAGCAGGGCUAUAGAAGAAAUGUGGUCUUUGAUCAAGAAUCAUACCAAGGAAUCCUGCCUCAUAUGACUUGAAGGUAUCAAGCAUAUUUCCAUUUGUCUUUGUAGUAUAAAAGGCAGAUCCAAUACGAUCAUUUAAUAAGAUCAUAGUACCGCGACCAAUAGAUCGAUUAGAGGCCGCUACCACUACAGCAUUUAACAAGUUCAUAGGGCCAUCAGCGCUAAUUGCAGUAGAAGGUCUCAUUGCUCCAACAACUACAAUGGGCUUUGUAGUAUUGACAGUCAUGUCCAAAAACAUCGCGGUUUCUUCAAGUGAAUCUGUACCAUGUGUAACAACAAUACCAUGAACAUCGGGUUUGGCAACUUCGGCUAGAAUCAACUGAGUAAGAUUCAAAACGUUAGCAGGUGUCAGUUCUUCACUGCCAACAUUAGUAACUUGGACUCCACGAAUGUUUGAAAAGUUCUUGAUAGCAGGAACUGCAUCAACCAGUGUUGCUAUUCCUACAGAGCCAGCGGCAUAGUCAACUGUUUCAGUGCUGGAUGAAGCAUAUCCAGCGAUAGUU